This 258-nucleotide ribosomal RNA is filed under the name Triticum aestivum (bread wheat). RNAcentral describes it as "partial small subunit ribosomal RNA". The record is from RNAcentral. Lineage: Eukaryota; Viridiplantae; Streptophyta; Magnoliopsida; Poales; Poaceae.
AUGAAUACAUUAUUCUGGAACUGCCGGGGGGUGGGGAACCGCCGGACAGUUCGUGAGGUGUUGGCCCUCGUAAAAGCUAACGACCCCAAGCUUGUCUUCCUGUGCGAGACAAGACAAGCUUCAGCUAAGGUGGAGAAUCUUAAGUGGAGAUUGGGUUUGAAAGGUUUUUGUGGUGUUUCUAGUGAUGGAUUAAGCGGGGGUUUGGCUCUUUUUUGGGAUGAAAGCCUGCAGGUUACUGUUCUUGAUUCAUGUGCAUGA